GUCAUGUCCAAGAAUCAGAGUGCACUCUCUUUACUGUUUUUUUUUUCAUUUGACUCAAUGAUUCAGGUUUUG
This is a non-coding RNA of Pangasianodon gigas (Mekong giant catfish), 72 nucleotides long. The record is from the annotation of a GenBank genome assembly. NCBI's taxonomy places the organism in Eukaryota, Metazoa, Chordata, Actinopteri, Siluriformes, Pangasiidae.